AAGGCUUUCGUCUAUCGGUCAGGACGCACCGAAUUUCGGUGAAAGCCGGGUUCAACUCCCGGAAGCCUACUA
Molecule: transfer RNA, 72 nt
Filed under: Caudoviricetes sp.
Lineage: Duplodnaviria; Heunggongvirae; Uroviricota; Caudoviricetes
Description: tRNA-OTHER
Source: RNAcentral